ACGGGAGGCAGCAGUGGGGAAUAUUGCACAAUGGGCGCAAGCCUGAUGCAGCGAUGCCGCGUGAGGGAAGAAGGUUUUCGGAUUGUAAACCUCUGUCAACAGGGACGAUAAUGACUGUACCUGUGAAGGAAGCACCGGCUAAAUACGUGCCAGCAGCCGCGGUAAUACGUAGGGAGCAAGCGUUAUCCGGAAUUACUGGGUGUAAAGGGAGUGUAGGCGGGACUGUAAGUCAGAUGUGAAAUAUGCCGGCUCAACUGGCAGACUGCAUUUGAAACUGCGGUUCUUGAGUGAAGUAGAGGUAAGCGGAAUUCCCGGUGUAGCGGUGAAAUGCGUAGAUAUCGGGAGGAACAUCGGUGGCGAAGGCGGCUUACUGGACGACAACUGACGCUGAGACACGAAAGUGUGGGGAGCAAACAGGAUUAGAUACCCUGGUA
Molecule: ribosomal RNA, 434 nt
Filed under: uncultured Ruminococcus sp.
Lineage: Bacteria; Bacillati; Bacillota; Clostridia; Eubacteriales; Oscillospiraceae
Description: partial 16S ribosomal RNA
Rfam family: Bacterial small subunit ribosomal RNA
Source: RNAcentral